AUGCGGCGAGAGAAGGGCCGAGGUACACCCCCGACAGCACGCUGUGGGAGCCGUACUUCCGUCGCCGCCACGCCGAGCAGCUCGAGGCCACCAACGGCGUCGUGCCCUCCGGGAGGCUCAAUGCCGACGGGCGUCGUCGAUGGUGGGGCGUGCCCGGCCGCACGCUGGAGACCUUCCUCGAGUAGAUUGAGGGCGGCAACACGCCGAGGCUGGAGUACCCCGCUCCCCCCACCUUCUCCCGCCGGCGUGGGAGCUCGUGGACGCCGAGAGGCAUGGACCCGGCAUCCUCCUCCUCGUCCAGCCGCUCGUCCGGCUCUCCCUCCCUCCUCCCCAUCAAGCCGGAGCCCCAGGACGCGCCGAUCAGCCGGCGCACCCGCAGCUCGGCGUCCGCAUCGCCGAGUCCUCCCCCACCUCUGCCCGGCUCGUCUGGCCGAAGGUGGAGUCCGGCCUCCCCGCGGAUUACGAGGCCAUAGCCUGGCGCGGCUUCUCCGACGAGGCCGCCCUAAAGUGGGCGCGGGACGACUACCUCCGCGACGAGAUGGUCCGGCAACGCCGAGGCCUGCAGGAGAUAGCCGCCCGCCAGCGUGGGCGCGAGGACGAGAACGGCGUGGUGAUCCUCGACAGCGACGAGGACGAGGACGCCCCCGGACCGUCCAACCCGCCGUGCGUCGGCGACCCUGGGCAGGGGUAUAG
RNAcentral lists this ribosomal RNA (693 nucleotides) under Triticum aestivum (bread wheat). Its description in RNAcentral is "partial small subunit ribosomal RNA". The record is from RNAcentral. Lineage: Eukaryota; Viridiplantae; Streptophyta; Magnoliopsida; Poales; Poaceae.